GGGGACAACCAGCCGAAAGGUUGGCUAAUUCCGCAUGAGUUCUACGGAAGAAAGAGGGGGACCCGCAAGGGCCUCUCGCGAGCGGAGCGGCCGAUGACUGAUUAGCCGGUUGGUGAGGUAACGGCUCACCAAAGCAACGAUCAGUAGCUGGUCUGAGAGGACGACCAGCCACACUGGGACUGAGACACGGCCCAGACUCCUACGGGAGGCAGCAGUGGGGAAUUUUGGACAAUGGGCGCAAGCCUGAUCCAGCUAUUCCGCGUGUGGGAUGAAGGCCCUCGGGUUGUAAACCACUUUUGUAGAGAACGAAAAGACACCUUCGAAUAAAGGGUGUUGCUGACGGUACUCUAAGAAUAAGCACCGGCUAACUACGUGCCAGCAGCCGCGGUAAUACGUAGGGUGCGAGCGUUAAUCGGAAUUACUGGGCGUAAAGGGUGCGCAGGCGGUUGAGUAAGACAGAUGUGAAAUCCCCGAGCUUAACUCGGGAAUGGCAUAUGUGACUGCUCGGCUAGAGUGUGUCAGAGGGAGGUGGAAUUCCACGUGUAGCAGUGAAAUGCGUAGAUAUGUGGAAGAACACCGAUGGCGAAGGCAGCCUCCUGGGACAUAACUGACGCUCAGGCACGAAAGCGUGGGGAGCAAACAGGAUUAGAUACCCU
RNAcentral lists this ribosomal RNA (656 nucleotides) under uncultured bacterium. Its description in RNAcentral is "bacterial SSU rRNA". It matches the Rfam family "Bacterial small subunit ribosomal RNA", at positions 139 to 788 of the family's 1533-position model. The record is from RNAcentral.